RNAcentral lists this long non-coding RNA (200 nucleotides) under Phoenix dactylifera (date palm). RNAcentral describes it as "long non-coding RNA (PDAC_LNC015265)". The record is from RNAcentral. Lineage: Eukaryota; Viridiplantae; Streptophyta; Magnoliopsida; Arecales; Arecaceae.
UCGUUGCUUUUCAGAGACUUUCUCUUCAAGCUCAAUUUUUCUCCCACUGCCUCUAUCAAGGAUAAACUGAUUUUCCAAGAAGAUGGCAUGACGGCUCACAAACACAUUGUGCUCCUCUGAGACGUAAAAAUUGUAUCCUAAUGACUCUUUAGGAUAUCCUAUAAAACGAGCACUUAUGGUCCUAGCCUCUAGUUUGUCCG